Molecule: ribosomal RNA, 450 nt
Filed under: uncultured bacterium
Lineage: Bacteria
Description: partial 16S ribosomal RNA
Rfam family: Bacterial small subunit ribosomal RNA
Source: RNAcentral
GUGGGGAAUAUUGGACAAUGGGCGAAAGCCUGAUCCAGCCAUGCCGCGUGUGUGAAGAAGGUCUUCGGAUUGUAAAGCACUUUAAGUUGGGAGGAAGGGCAGUAAGUUAAUACCUUGCUGUUUUGACGUUACCGACAGAAUAAGCACCGGCUAACUUCGUGACAGCAGCCGCGGUAAUACGAAGGGUGCAAGCGUUAAUCGGAAUUACUGGGCGUAAAGCGCGCGUAGGUGGUUCAGUAAGUUGGAAGUGAAAUCCCCGGGCUCAACCUGGGAACUGCUUUCAAAACUGCUGAGCUAGAGUACGGUAGAGGGUGGUGGAAUUUCCUGUGUAGCGGUGAAAUGCGUAGAUAUAGGAAGGAACACCAGUGGCGAAGGCGACCACCUGGACUGAUACUGACACUGAGGUGCGAAAGCGUGGGGAGCAAACAGGAUUAGAAACCCGGGUAGUCC